AGAGUUUGAUCCUGGCUCAGGAUGAACGCUAGCUACAGGCUUAAUACAUGCAAGUCGAGGGGAAACGACAUCGAAAGCUUGCUUUUGAUGGGCGUCGACCGGCGCACGGGUGAGUAACGCGUAUCCAACCUGCCCACCACUUGGGGAUAACCUUGCGAAAGUAAGACUAAUACCCAAUGACGUCUCUAGAAGACAUCUGAAGGAGAUUAAAGAUUUAUCGGUGAUGGAUGGGGAUGCGUCUGAUUAGCUUGUUGGCGGGGUAACGGCCCACCAAGGCGACGAUCAGUAGGGGUUCUGGAGAGGAACGGUCCCCANAUUGGAACUGAGACACGGUCCAAACGUCCUACGGGAGCA
Molecule: ribosomal RNA, 354 nt
Filed under: uncultured bacterium
Lineage: Bacteria
Description: bacterial SSU rRNA
Rfam family: Bacterial small subunit ribosomal RNA
Source: RNAcentral